Molecule: transfer RNA, 78 nt
Filed under: Candidatus Bathyarchaeota archaeon
Lineage: Archaea; Thermoproteati; Candidatus Bathyarchaeota
Also listed under: 1 other name
Description: tRNA-Arg
Rfam family: tRNA
About the family: Transfer RNA (tRNA) molecules are approximately 80 nucleotides in length. Their secondary structure includes four short double-helical elements and three loops (D, anti-codon, and T loops). Further hydrogen bonds mediate the characteristic L-shaped molecular structure. tRNAs have two regions of fundamental functional importance: the anti-codon, which is responsible for specific mRNA codon recognition, and the 3' end, to which the tRNAs corresponding amino acid is attached (by aminoacyl-tRNA synthetases). tRNAs cope with the degeneracy of the genetic code in two manners: having more than one tRNA (with a specific anti-codon) for a particular amino acid; and 'wobble' base-pairing, i.e. permitting non-standard base-pairing at the 3rd anti-codon position.
Source: RNAcentral
GGGGCCGUAGCUCAGCCUGGAUAGAGCGGUGGCCUUCUAAGCCACAGGUCCCGGGUUCAAAUCCCGGCGGCCCCGCCA